ACGCUGGCGGCAGGCCUAAUACAUGCAAGUCGAACGGCUCUUCGGAGCAGUGGCGGACGGGUGAGUAACGCGUGGGAACGUGCCCUUUGGUUCGGAACAACACAGGGAAACUUGUGCUAAUACCGAAUGUGCCCUUCGGGGGAAAGAUUUAUCGCCAUUGGAGCGGCCCGCGUUGGAUUAGCUAGUUGGUGGGGUAAAGGCCCACCAAGGCGACGAUCCAUAGCUGGUCUGAGAGGAUGAUCAGCCACACUGGGACUGAGACACGGCCCAGACUCCUACGGGAGGCAGCAGUAGGGAAUCUUGCGCAAUGGGCGAAAGCCUGACGCAGCCAUGCCGCGUGAAUGAUGAAGGUCUUAGGAUUGUAAAAUUCUUUCACCGGGGAAGAUAAUGACGGUACCCGGAGAAGAAGCCCCGGCUAACUUCGUGCCAGCAGCCGCGGUAAUACGAAGGGGGCUAGCGUUGCUCGGAAUUACUGGGCGUAAAGGGCGCGUAGGCGGACAGUUUAGUCAGAGGUGAAAGCCCAGGGCUCAACCUUGGAAUUGCCUUUGAUACUGGCUGUCUUGAGUUCGGGAGAGGUGAGUGGAAUGCCGAGUGUAGAGGUGAAAUUCGUAGAUAUUCGGCGGAACACCAGUGGCGAAGGCGACUCACUGGCCCGAUACUGACGCUGAGGCGCGAAAGCGUGGGGAGCAAACAGG
Molecule: ribosomal RNA, 695 nt
Filed under: uncultured Alphaproteobacteria bacterium
Lineage: Bacteria; Pseudomonadati; Pseudomonadota; Alphaproteobacteria
Description: bacterial SSU rRNA
Rfam family: Bacterial small subunit ribosomal RNA
Source: RNAcentral